RNAcentral lists this microRNA precursor (86 nucleotides) under Corchorus capsularis. Its description in RNAcentral is "pre miRNA mir-156". Lineage: Eukaryota; Viridiplantae; Streptophyta; Magnoliopsida; Malvales; Malvaceae. The record is from RNAcentral.
UUGACAGAAGAUAGAGAGCACAAGUGAACAUACCCAGAAAUGGCCUGUGUAUGAAUCUCCCUUGUGCUCUCUUCAUCUUCUGUCAA